Molecule: ribosomal RNA, 497 nt
Filed under: uncultured bacterium
Lineage: Bacteria
Description: partial 16S ribosomal RNA
Rfam family: Bacterial small subunit ribosomal RNA
Source: RNAcentral
GAUGAACGCUGGCGGCGUGCCUAAUACAUGCGAGUCGAGCGAACAGACGAGGAGCUUGCUCCUCUGACGUUAGCGGCGGACGGGUGAGUAACACGUGGAUAACCUACCUAUAAGACUGGGAUAACUUCGGGAAACCGGAGCUAAUACCGGAUAAUAUAUUGAACCGCAUGGUUCAAUAGUGAAAGACGGUUUUGCUGUCACUUAUAGAUGGAUCCGCGCCGCAUUAGCUAGUUGGUAAGGUAACGGCUUACCAAGGCAACGAUGCGUAGCCGACCUGAGAGGGUGAUCGGCCACACUGGAACUGAGACACGGUCCAGACUCCUACGGGAGGCAGCAGUAGGGAAUCUUCCGCAAUGGGCGAAAGCCUGACGGAGCAACGCCGCGUGAGUGAUGAAGGUCUUCGGAUCGUAAAAUUCUGUUAUUAGGGAAGAACAAAUGUGUAAGUAACUAUGCACGUCUUGACGGUACCUAAUCAGAAAGCCACGGCUAACUACGUG